UUCCGGUUGAUCCCGCCGGACCCCACUGCUAUCGAGAUGGGACUAAGGUAUGCUAGUCGAACGACCAGAACUAUGUCUGGAAGUGGCACACUGCUCAGUAACACGUAGCUAACCUACCCUUAGGACGUGGAUACCCCCGAGAAAUUGGGGUUAAUCCGCGAUAGGUGUAAUGUCCUGGAAUGGUAUUACGCCUAAAGGUGUAUCAUACAUGUUUGAUAUACGCCUAAGGAUGGGGCUGCGGCCGAUCAGGCUGUUGGUGAGGUAAUGGCUCACCAAACCUUUGACCGGUACGGGCCAUGAGAGUGGUAGCCCGGAGAUGGACACUGAGACAAGGGUCCAGGCCCUAAGGGGCGCAGCAACCGCGAAACCUCCACAAUGCACUCACGUGCGAUGGGGCUAUCUCGAGUGCCACCUGAUGAAGGUGGCUUUUCCUAGGUCUUCAAAGCCUUGGGAAUAAGAGGGGGGCAAGACUGGUGUCAGCCGCCGCGGUAACACCAGCCCCUCGAGUGGUGGGGAUGAUUAUUUGGCCUAAAGCGUCCGUAGCCGGCCGAGCAAGUCUUCCGUUAAAUCCAGCGUCUCAAGCGUUGGACUGCGGGAGAUACUACACGGCUAGAGAGUGGGAGAGGUCAGCGGUAUUCUGGGGGUAGGGGCGAAAUCCUUUGAUCCCCGGAGGACCACCAGUGGCGAAGGCUGCUGUCUAGAACACGUCUGACGGUCAGGGACGAAAGCUGGGGUAGCGAACCGGAUUAGAUACCCGGGUAGUCCCAGCCGUAAACGAUGCAUGCUAGGUGUUGGGUUGGCCACGAGCCACCCCAGUGCCGCAGGGAAGCCGUUAAGCAUGCCGCCUGGGAAGUACGAUCGCAAGG
Molecule: ribosomal RNA, 866 nt
Filed under: uncultured archaeon
Lineage: Archaea
Description: bacterial SSU rRNA
Rfam family: Archaeal small subunit ribosomal RNA
Source: RNAcentral